RNAcentral lists this ribosomal RNA (494 nucleotides) under uncultured bacterium. RNAcentral describes it as "partial 16S ribosomal RNA". It matches the Rfam family "Bacterial small subunit ribosomal RNA", at positions 28 to 507 of the family's 1533-position model. The record is from RNAcentral.
GACGAACGCUGGCGGCGUGCUUAACACAUGCAAGUCGAACGGAAAGGCCUGCUUUCCCUUGUGUAUUGCGGGUACUCGAGUGGCGAACGGGUGAGUAACACGUGAGUGAUCUGCCCCCAACUUGGGUAUAAGCCUGGGAAACUGGGUCUAAUUCCCGAUAGGACUGCAGGGUGGUGCCUGUGGUGGAAAACGAUUUUCUAGUGGUAGGGGAUGAGCUCGCGGCCUAUCAGCUUGUUGGUGGGGUAAUGGCCUACCAAGGCGGCGACGGGUAGCCGGCCGGAGAGGGUGGACGGCCACAUUGGGACUGAGAUACGGCCCAGACUCCUACGGGAGGCAGCAGUGGGGAAUAGUGCACAAUGGGCGGAAGCCUGAUGCAGCGACGCCGCGUGGGGGAUGACGGCCUUCGGGUUGUAAACUCCUUUCGACCGCGAGGAAGCCACCUGGUUGGAAGGGUGGUGACGGUAGUGGUAGAAGAAGCACCGGCUAACUACGUG